This 428-nucleotide ribosomal RNA is filed under the name uncultured bacterium. RNAcentral's name for it is "bacterial SSU rRNA". It matches the Rfam family "Bacterial small subunit ribosomal RNA", at positions 355 to 775 of the family's 1533-position model. The record is from RNAcentral.
UGGGGAAUUUUGGACAAUGGGCGCAAGCCUGAUCCAGCAAUGCCGCGUGUGUGAAGAAGGCCUUCGGGUUGUAAAGCACUUUUGUCCGGAAAGAAAACCUCGUGGUUAAUACCCGUGGGGGAUGACGGUACCGGAAGAAUAAGCACCGGCUAACUACGUGCCAGCAGCCGCGGUAAUACGUAGGGUGCAAGCGUUAAUCGGAAUUACUGGGCGUAAAGCGUGCGCAGGCGGUUCGCUAAGACAGAUGUGAAAUCCCCGGGCUUAACCUGGGAACUGCAUUUGUGACUGGCGGGCUAGAGUAUGGCAGAGGGGGGUAGAAUUCCACGUGUAGCAGUGAAAUGCGUAGAGAUGUGGAGGAAUACCGAUGGCGAAGGCAGCCCCCUGGGCCAAUACUGACGCUCAUGCACGAAAGCGUGGGGAGCAAACAG